AUACUUACCUGGCAGGGGAGAUACCAUGAUUAUGAAGGUGGUUUUCCCAGGGCGAGUCUUGUCCAUUGCAUUCCAGAUGUGCUGGCCCCUGUGAUUUCUCCAAAUGUGGGAAACUCGAAUGCAUAAUUUGUAGUAGUGUGGGACUGCGUUUGCGUCCUCCACC
Molecule: small nuclear RNA, 163 nt
Organism: Molossus molossus (Pallas's mastiff bat)
Lineage: Eukaryota; Metazoa; Chordata; Mammalia; Chiroptera; Molossidae
Product: U1 spliceosomal RNA
Exons: 1
Source: RefSeq, a predicted model, not a curated record